GUCAUUGGAUUGUGACUUGAUGUUCCCAGGCUGACUUCUGUCACUGUGACUCAACAACUACAUUUAUUCCUCAAGCAUCCCCACUCACUCUCUCCCCUCCCACCGCUCACAGCCUCCCACACACAGAUUAGCAGCACACAGGAGUCUACACAAAGCCCACCCUCUCCUAACCCAGACAACCCAUUACAGAGGGUCAGUGUGGGAGUGCAGGGCAUACACAUGUCUGCCCUGGACUUCCUCCAGGAGAUGCCAGCAGAAGGGACCCCAUCUUCCACCCUGAGAUCCAGCCAGCCCUGCCCCUGGGCUGCUCCUCCUCCUGUGAGCAGAUCUUCCUACUAGAACCCCACCUAUCAAGGCUGGCAGGGGCUUACAGCAUCCAAAUGGCGCCUCCUUUGAACACUCAGGGCUCAAGCACAGCAGGGCUGGAGGGGCUGCAGCUGCAAGGCUCAGGCAGGGCCAGCAUCCUGUACCCACGUUCAGUAAAUAGGGCUGUGCACCAUGCAACACUUUCCUGAGUGCCUUCCCUCAUCUAUGAAUCUGGCUUACACUGUAUCAAUUUAGCCAUGAUCCUUUAUGAAGAUAAUUAGCUAUAAAAUAUCCUGUCAUAGGAGGCGAGUAUGAUCUGUUUCCCUCUUUCCACAUGAUGGGAGAUUUUACACAAAAUAAUUUAAAUUUCAUUCGGGGUAUCCUAGGCCUUUUGAUCCUAGAACUGGGUUUCUCAGCCUCAGCAGCACUGACCUCUACUCACAAGCUCUGAGCAGCACACACAACCCUCAGACUCCCUGAGAUGCUGCACCAGGGAGCAGCCAUCACCCAACGGGGAUCCGGUGCUGUAGCCGACAGGUCUAAGUCUUGGUUCAGUACACUGUGGGAUUGUUCAUCUGUUUUUGAGACAGAGUCUCCUGUAUGCCAGGCUGGCCUUGAACUCCUAAUGCUCCUUCCUUCUUCUUCCUCUCAACCACAUAUCUGAUAAUCUUAUGAAAUUUACAUUCUUAUAUCCCCAGAAAAUUUACUAACAAAUUUUCCUUCAAUCUUUAUCCUUCCUUCCCUCCUGCCUCUGCAUACACCAGGCUAGCCAGCCUGCCAGGGAUUCUCUCAUCCCCUCCUGUCUUGCCAUAGGAGGGCUGGGACUGCAGACGUGCACUGCAGCAUCUGGCACUGUGCAGCUCCAUGCUUGUGUGCACUGCACCCCCUGAGCCAUCUCCACCACACACAUUUGUGCAUUCUACGAUAUUUAUAAUAUUUAUACACUGUACACACUUCCAGGAGAUAUUUCCACUCCCGCCUUCCUUCCAGCAUCAUUCCCACAGCUGUGACAUGUGACCCCACCAACAGACGAACGGACAAAGCACAUGGAGAAUGAGGUCCACACACAGUGAAGCACUUACUACACUAUGGAUGCACACGGAGAACAACAAGUGCAAUAAGGAACGGUAAGAUGCUGGUUAAUUGGUUUGAGUGGCGGAGGCCGUGGUUGACAGUGGGAGAUGUAGACCCAUGAGGAAGCGAGUGGGAAGAAGCUCGUCAAAGACUGGGAAAUUUCAGCCACACAACUGAAGUUCAGAGAUACAUCAUGAAACAUGGCGAUUGUGAUCAACAGUUUAAAAGACUAAGGGCAUAGACAGUAAGCUUGCUCAUUACAACAAUGCUGAGAGAUUUAGUCAUUCCGGUGCACAUGAAACCUCCAAAUUAUCAUACUAUACGCGAUACAAAAACAUCAUCUGAAAACUGAACAGGUUCUGCUUUACAUCAGUACGUACACCUUCUUUUCCUUGUUGUUCUUCAGACAAGGCCUCACUGUGCGGUCCCGCUAGUCUGGACCUUGUUAUGUGGACCAAGCUGACCCUGAACUCAUAAUAAUCCUCCUGCUUCUACCUCCCAGGUGCUGAGAUUAAAAUGUACACCACAAAGCCUAGCUUUUCUUUUUCGGUCCCUUUCUUAAAUAUCCAACCAGUAAUCGCUUUAUUUCCCACGCUCCCCUGUCCUGCAGAGCACUGAGAAGGAACCCAAAAUGGCCUCACAGAGCAACAACUAAAGCUAACCAGGCCCUUAGUGUACGGUGUCACUGCACCCACAGGCUUCACCACAGGCAUUCUAAGGUCCAUGACAGAACUAGAGAGACACAGGGGACAGAACCAAGACUCCAACCCGGAUACCACAGACCCACAUGUCCACGUCCAACCACAGCAUUGCUCACCUGGCUCUGGCCAAUGUUACUCAUUACACACACGCACGCACACACACACUGAAAAUUACUGGCUCUCAAAGAUGCCAAAUUUAGCACUACCACUUUCCUGCUCCUGGAAGUCUCACAAGUGAACAAAAUUUGUCUACUACCUACAUUUUUCCCCUGUGUGGAAUACCUAUUAAAUAUGUCCCCGCUUAACCUUAAGUAAAAGAGACUCGAAUUAUGAUAUUUAUUUAUUGGGCUCUGUGCAAUUACUAGGGGACUAUCCUAACCUAUAUCUCCAAACGACACUUUUGACUACUGGCUCAACUGUGCUCCCCAAAUACUCGUGUUUCAAACUCUCUGGGCUACUUCUGCUCCAGCAGUCUGGGAUCCUGGAAAGGCAUAACACUCUGGCAGGAGCUGUUGGUUCAACUCUUGGAGACCUCCUGUUCUGUAGUCUGUUCCUCCCCUCUGUUCCUUCUGUCUUCUCUCCUCCCUUGGGGCCUACAUGAUACCCACAGCCCAGCUGCUCAAACUCUACCUCUCUCUAUUUCUCUCAGUGACUGACUGUGGUCAGUUUUAUUUAAACACUGGUUUUAAAUUGGGGAGCAAAGUUCACAUAGCAUCACUUGGUAUAUGAGGAUCUGCUUGUGGUGAGGGGCGGGGGUAACCAGAUCUUUGGAGCCAGUAUUUAGCAUUAAAUACAAGCAACACCAGCACCCCGAAGUCCACCUGCUUUGAACGGAAGGUCUAUAAAGAACAAAGUCCAUCUGCUAGGUGAUGCCACGGAUAGGAAAUGAUUUAGCAAGUCAGAGUCUGAGAUUCCUAAGUUAACCUCUGGAGAUUCCUAUUUAUAAAGUCUAGGGGGAAAGGUCUUAUUUAUUGGAGGAUGUCAAGGAUCACUGAAACAAUAAUGAGAAUACUAAAUGGGAGGGGAAGGAACAGUGUAAGGGCCACAAAGUUGGAGCUAUCAGUCUGUUACUCCUUCAUUUACUGACGAUCCUAUUAUCUAAAACUAACGCCUCAUUUCUCCAACUGAGAAAGCGCAAACUCGCCCUUGAGGCUUUGCUGGGUGGCAAAAAUGAUCUCAGGCUUCUCCAGCUCUCCUUUGGAAUAAUGGCCGAGUCAGGGAGCCUGAGGAAGCAUGAAAUCCCAGACUAUAUCUGAGAGCAUCGUCAGUGAGCACUUCCCAUCACUUCUCACAACACUCACGUGGCUAGAGCUCUAGGAAACUUAGGGAACUUAACAAGUAGCUCCCCACCACACACACACACACACACACACACACACACACACACACACACACAGAGGCGACCCUCGAAGGCACUUCUCGGCCUCAAAUGCUUGUCCCAAGCUCAAGUCUGCAUCUCAGAGGAAGUUUCCCUUCAGAUUCAGCACCUGACCUUUCCUUGCUUCAGCCCCUGUGUCCCGGAGAGAAAGCACAGUGACACAGGUAAUGCAGAGAGCUCAAGAUGUGUAUACACACAGACAAACACACAGAUGCACAAACAUCACGGUCCCUGCACACUCACACAAAUAUCAACAUCCACCCACACCCAGCCUGAUGGCUCCGGCCUUACUCUGUGGGGACGAAGGCCAAAGAGCGAUUUCCUCCACCUACGAAAAAAAUCGGACUUUGGACUGUAGGUUUGCACGACACCGGAAUUCGAUCCGUUACUUCCGGCGCGGUGAACCCUGGGAAAUACAGUCCUCGCGGCGGAACUCCGGAAAGUACCAUACUCUGAGGUUCAGGGAGAUCCGGUUAUACUACUUGGACCAACCCACCUGGUUGCUGCGCCGGAUAGUUUCAGGGAUUUUUCCAAAAACGCACAGCCUUAAAAGCUCCUGGCGGUGCUCAGAAGGUACUUCCGGUUCUGCACGCCACUGAUUUUUUUUUUUUCUCUCCCGUGGCGCGGACCGACAAGCAGAACAGGAAGUAAGAUCAGAUCGUGAUGUAACUGACUUGAUUAUGCUUUGCCUGAGUCCCACUGAACGGGAUUCCACUUCACUGUGCUUUGGACAAAUGGCUGAGGAAGCAAUGGAAGGGAAGAAAUGUUUGUCGCUGCUCUUGGGUUUAGUGUUCAGCCCGUCACUGCAAGAAGAGGUCAUGGGGGGAGGAGCCUGGGGCUGAUGGUCACACGGUCUGAAGUAUCAAGGGGAGAGUGACAAGGUCAUUUUCUCUUCACCUAGCUUUCUCCUAAUUGUCUAGUCACGGAUCCCGCUUUCAAGGCGUGUCUUCUCACCUCACUUAACCUCACACAGAUCAUUCCUUACUGAUGCAUCCAGAGGCUGACCCAUCUAAAUGAUCCUCAUAGUCAAGGCUAGAGGCUCCUCUGCCAGGGAAUUCUAGGCCCUGCCAAGCUGACAAUAUCACAAACGCGUUUGCUAAGAUACUAGAAACUUGAAAGUGUAUAAGUAAUAACUAACGGUAAUUGUAAUAAAUAGCAAUAAAUAACUGGAACUGUA
Molecule: non-coding RNA, 4636 nt
Organism: Rattus norvegicus (Norway rat)
Lineage: Eukaryota; Metazoa; Chordata; Mammalia; Rodentia; Muridae
Source: RefSeq, a predicted model, not a curated record